GCCAAGAUUAUCCUCAGUGGUCUGGGGUGCAGGCUUCAAACCCGUAGGUAUUUAUUGAGCAUUCACUCUUUUUUGCU
This is a non-coding RNA of Podarcis lilfordi (Lilford's wall lizard), 77 nucleotides long. NCBI's taxonomy places the organism in Eukaryota, Metazoa, Chordata, Lepidosauria, Squamata, Lacertidae. The record is from the annotation of a GenBank genome assembly.